AAUAAAAUGGCUGAGGGCAUAAGCGAUAAAUUGUAAAUUUAUUAACAAGAAUUAUUUCUUUUUUAUUA
Molecule: transfer RNA, 68 nt
Filed under: Mustilia falcipennis
Lineage: Eukaryota; Metazoa; Arthropoda; Insecta; Lepidoptera; Endromidae
Description: tRNA-Tyr
Rfam family: tRNA
About the family: Transfer RNA (tRNA) molecules are approximately 80 nucleotides in length. Their secondary structure includes four short double-helical elements and three loops (D, anti-codon, and T loops).
Source: RNAcentral